CUAGCCGUAAACGAUGGAUACUAGGUGUAAGAGGUAUCGACCCCUCUUGUGCCGUAGCUAACGCAUUAAGUAUCCCGCCUGGGGAGUACGGCCGCAAGGUUGAAACUCAAAGGAAUUGAC
RNAcentral lists this ribosomal RNA (120 nucleotides) under uncultured bacterium. Its description in RNAcentral is "partial 16S ribosomal RNA". It matches the Rfam family "Bacterial small subunit ribosomal RNA", at positions 796 to 914 of the family's 1533-position model. The record is from RNAcentral.